RNAcentral lists this ribosomal RNA (587 nucleotides) under uncultured bacterium. RNAcentral's name for it is "bacterial SSU rRNA". It matches the Rfam family "Bacterial small subunit ribosomal RNA", at positions 337 to 916 of the family's 1533-position model. The record is from RNAcentral.
UCCUACGGGAGGCAGCAGUGGGGAAUAUUGGACAAUGGGGGCAACCCUGAUCCAGCCAUGCCGCGUGUGUGAAGAAGGCCCUCGGGUUGUAAAGCACUUUCAGCGAGGAAGAACGCCUAGCGGUUAAUACCCGCUAGGAAAGACAUCACUCGCAGAAGAAGCACCGGCUAACUCCGUGCCAGCAGCCGCGGUAAUACGGAGGGUGCAAGCGUUAAUCGGAAUUACUGGGCGUAAAGCGCGCGUAGGUGGCUUGAUAAGCCGGUUGUGAAAGCCCCGGGCUCAACCUGGGAACGGCAUCCGGAACUGUCAAGCUAGAGUGCAGGAGAGGAAGGUAGAAUUCCCGGUGUAGCGGUGAAAUGCGUAGAGAUCGGGAGGAAUACCAGUGGCGAAGGCGGCCUUCUGGACUGACACUGACACUGAGGUGCGAAAGCGUGGGUAGCAAACAGGAUUAGAUACCCUGGUAGUCCACGCCGUAAACGAUGUCGACCAGCCGUUGGGUGCCUAGCGCACUUUGUGGCGAAGUUAACGCGAUAAGUCGACCGCCUGGGGAGUACGGCCGCAAGGUUAAAACUCAAAUGAAUUGACGG